GCCAUUAGGGCUGCUAUAGCAGGCUACUUUGAUAUAGUAGACUAAGAACGAUAUGUUCCGUUGGUAGUUU
Molecule: transfer RNA, 70 nt
Filed under: Litobothrium nickoli
Lineage: Eukaryota; Metazoa; Platyhelminthes; Cestoda; Litobothriidea; Litobothriidae
Description: tRNA-Ile
Source: RNAcentral